Molecule: ribosomal RNA, 119 nt
Filed under: Pteropus alecto (black flying fox)
Lineage: Eukaryota; Metazoa; Chordata; Mammalia; Chiroptera; Pteropodidae
Source: RNAcentral
GUUUACACCCAUGCCACCCCGAACAUGCCCGAUCCUGUCUGAUCUCGGACGCUAAGCAGAGUUGGGCCUGGUUAGUACUUGGAUGGGAGACCACCUAGGAAUACCAGAUGUUAUAGGUG